CGCUGGCGGCAGGCUUAACACAUGCAAGUCGAGCGGAGUGGUUGUGCUUGCACAAUCACUUAGCGGCGGACGGGUGAGUAAUGCUUAGGAAUCUGCCUAUUAGUGGGGGACAACAUUCCGAAAGGAAUGCUAAUACCGCAUACGCCCUACGGGGGAAAGCAGGGGAUCUUCGGACCUUGCGCUAAUAGAUGAGCCUAAGUCGGAUUAGCUAGUUGGUGGGGUAAAGGCCUACCAAGGCGACGAUCUGUAGCGGGUCUGAGAGGAUGAUCCGCCACACUGGGACUGAGACACGGCCCAGACUCCUACGGGAGGCAGCAGUGGGGAAUAUUGGACAAUGGGGGGAACCCUGAUCCAGCCAUGCCGCGUGUGUGAAGAAGGCCUUUUGGUUGUAAAGCACUUUAAGCGAGGAGGAGGCUACUAGUACUAAUACUACUGGAUAGUGGACGUUACUCGCAGAAUAAGCACCGGCUAACUCUGUGCCAGCAGCCGCGGUAAUACAGAGGGUGCGAGCGUUAAUCGGAUUUACUGGGCGUAAAGCGUGCGUAGGCGGCUGAUUAAGUCGGAUGUGAAAUCCCUGAGCUUAACUUAGGAAUUGCAUUCGAUACUGGUCAGCUAGAGUAUGGGAGAGGAUGGUAGAAUUCCAGGUGUAGCGGUGAAAUGCGUAGAGAUCUGGAGGAAUACCGAUGGCGAAGGCAGCCAUCUGGCCUAAUACUGACGCUGAGGUACGAAAGCAUGGGGAGCAAACAGGAUUAGAUACCCUGGUAGUCCAUGCCGUAAACGAUGUCUACUAGCCGUUGGGGCCUUUGAGGCUUUAGUGGCGCAGCUAACGCGAUAAGUAGACCGCCUGGGGAGUACGGUCGCAAGACUAAAACUCAAAUGAAUUGACGGGGGCCCGCACAAGCGGUGGAGCAUGUGGUUUAAUUCGAUGCAACGCGAAGAACCUACCUGGUCUUGA
This 955-nucleotide ribosomal RNA is filed under the name Acinetobacter sp. RNAcentral's name for it is "bacterial SSU rRNA". It matches the Rfam family "Bacterial small subunit ribosomal RNA", at positions 34 to 984 of the family's 1533-position model. Lineage: Bacteria; Pseudomonadati; Pseudomonadota; Gammaproteobacteria; Moraxellales; Moraxellaceae. The record is from RNAcentral.